RNAcentral lists this microRNA (24 nucleotides) under Sorghum bicolor (sorghum). RNAcentral describes it as "sbi-miR5383". The record is from miRBase by way of RNAcentral. Lineage: Eukaryota; Viridiplantae; Streptophyta; Magnoliopsida; Poales; Poaceae.
AUGACAGAGCUCCGGCAGAGAUAU